This 81-nucleotide transfer RNA is filed under the name Ixodes scapularis (black-legged tick). It matches the Rfam family "tRNA". From Rfam's summary of the family: Transfer RNA (tRNA) molecules are approximately 80 nucleotides in length. Their secondary structure includes four short double-helical elements and three loops (D, anti-codon, and T loops). Lineage: Eukaryota; Metazoa; Arthropoda; Arachnida; Ixodida; Ixodidae. The record is from Rfam by way of RNAcentral.
GUAGUCGUGGCCGAGUGGUUGAGGCGAUGGACUGGAAAUUUAUGAGAUCUCCCCGCACAGGUUCGAAUUCUGUCGACUGCG